Long non-coding RNA from Mercurialis annua (annual mercury), 353 nucleotides. RefSeq lists it as uncharacterized. The transcript is spliced from 3 exons. Lineage: Eukaryota; Viridiplantae; Streptophyta; Magnoliopsida; Malpighiales; Euphorbiaceae. The record is from RefSeq and is a predicted model, not a curated record.
GUAUAAAAAAGGGGAAUGGGAUAAAAAAGAAAGAAAAACAAAAACAAAAAAGAUGAAGAAGGAAAUAGCAGUAGUGAUGAUAAUGGGAUUACUAUUGGCUCAUCUUCACAUGGUUCACCCUUCUGCCGCUGAUUGCAAUGAUGCUUGCUCCACUGCUUGUGUCCAACCCAACUUAAGGCUCCAGCAACGCUGUGAGAUCAAGUGUGGUAUUAGGUGCAGUUCAGGUUCUCCACUUCUAAAACAUACUCUAAUCGGAGCUUAAAUGGAUCUAUAUCUAUGCAUUAUCUUAUUCAAUGUAACCUACUCCUACUUUUCAUGAAAUAAAGAUAAGAUAUGAAUGUUUGGUUUUGCUA